RNAcentral lists this long non-coding RNA (351 nucleotides) under Homo sapiens (human). RNAcentral describes it as "non-protein coding lnc-C2orf71-3:1". Lineage: Eukaryota; Metazoa; Chordata; Mammalia; Primates; Hominidae. The record is from RNAcentral.
UUACAGGCGGGAGCCACUGCGACCGGCCUGAGAUACAGUUGGAUCACAAGGACGAGUCAUAAGUUUUGAGGUACGAAAAGACCACCAUGAUCUGGCUAAGAAGAAUUACAAACACUGGCGUGAUUCAUGGAAAUUAAGUCAUGUAGAAGAGUGGCCAGACAAUGUGGAUUUUAUUCAUAAGGACAUUUCAGGAGCAACCGAAGACAUAAAAUCUUUAACAUUUGACGCAGUAGCUUUGGAUAUGUUAAAUCCUCAUGUUACUUUGCCUGUUUUUUACCCACAUCUUAAGCAUGGUGGUGUAUGUGCUGUAUAUGUAGUAAACAUCACACAGGUUAUUGAACUUUUAGAUGG